CGCCAUCCCCGCCCAGGCCCCCCCCCCCCUCCACUCCCACUCCCACUCCCCCUCGCUGCCCGCAGGGCUCAGUGCUUGGAUGUGUUGUGGCAGGCUGAUUUCAAACUUCAGAAAUUCUCAUGGAACAUGACACAAACUGUAGUCCACGAUAAGAAGUUCGGAACUUGACUUGAAGAAAGUGAAUAUAAAAAGAGGACAAAUCUGUGAAGAAAAGCAGAGAAAAUGGCUUUUGAGCAGUGGCUUUUGAUGUCACGUGGUAGAGACAUGAGCUCAACUGUCAACUUCUUCUGUGAUGUAAUUGAUUUAAAAGAAAACAAAACUGUGCUCAUCAUUCCAGGUGAAGAUGAGGGAACUUCACAUCUUGUGUUCUUGCUUGUAUAGUUCACCAGACAAUUUACAUUUUCCUAAAAAAACUACAGUGAUAUCAUAAUAUCAGAUAUUUUGCACUGAAUUUUGAACUCCACACGUGUCCAGGUGCAUUGAAACUUUGAAUGACUCACCGAGCCAAAAGUGAAUGUGAGUUUGCCAAGCAGACAAAUGUAACUUCAAUGAUGAUUCUGACUAGUUCUGUCUAGUACUCUACCGUCAUUAAAUUGACUCCAUCAAAGAACAAAUUUGAUUUCCUUCUUUUUACUUUUCCUUACAUUUGGAAGUAAAAUACAUAUGAGUUAUGGAUGUGAGAUAAGCUGUAGAAAAUCAUAGUAUAGUGUGGUGAGUGGGAAGCAUCCAACAGAGCUCCACUGAUCUGCUGGUUCUUGGGGAAAGAGAAAUACUGAUUUUAAACUCAGUGAUGCUAAACAGGAUUUGUUGAAGAGAGUAGCCAGUCUUAUGUUUGUUAUGCCUCCAUCUAAGAGCAUAGUGUGGACUGUUGCUGCUCCAAGUUAUGUGCAACAGGAUCCCAGUUCUGGACUAGAGGCAGGAAAAUCUUUCUCCUGCACUUGCUUGCUGCAUGCAGUUGGCUGUGCGCUGUCCUCUUUUGUUUUCUGUCUGCAGUGUUGUAUGUGAAAGUUAAUGGAGGAAGUUCUGGUGAAGACUAAAGCAUCAGGUUAAAUUAGGUGUGCAUGAUCUGAACUCUCCUGAAUCAAGAUAACUCUUACAUGUGCUGAAAAUCAGAAGGUUUCUGGAUCCUGUCAGAAAAAGAUGAGUAGAUUUUUGGAAGGAAUGUGGUUCUCUGGCUACAUCAUGUUCAUUCAAAUUCAUCUGGAGUUUGUAAAACUUCUGUGACCAUGGGUGGAGUUUUAUGAACUCAUAAAACUUCAAACCUGAGGCUCAGCUUCAGAGUGCUUGAUGUGCUUCAGACGUUUUUCCUUAAUUGUUUUGGAAGAACACAUCAACAUUUCUGUUCCUUACCAACCAAAUUUCCUAGAACCUUUGAACAAAAUAUUCUCCAUGUAUUGAAGAUCUGCUAAUAUUACCUUUUUUUGUCCUGCAGAAAAUACAGUUUAGGACACAAAAGAUGACAUUGGUAUGAACAGAUUGGAAGGUAGCCUGCCAUCUUUAUACCUGUUCUCAUCCUGCAGGAUCACUGGCACAUUUAUGCAUUGGCAUACACUUUGAACUAUUUAUAGGGGCAGAAUUGAACCUCUCUGCUCACCUCUUACAAACACAGGUAGCUAGAGAAGGCAAAAUGCUGAAGACUCUGAUCCUACUUUUAGCUCCUUAACUCCUUUGUCAGGUCAUCUCCAUUGGCAUGAGGUUUACUAUGCAGUAGCUCUCCUGUGCAGAUAAGCCCUAAAUUGUCUACCAUUGGAAUGUGUCCAAAGUUAAUUUUCACUUCUGUCCAUUAAAGUGGCAGGAAUGAUACUGUGUGAGGUCACUUGGCUCGGGUGUGGCUUACUUAUUUCUUCAAAGGAAAGCCCAGGUAUACUAUACCUUUUCCUUGCUGUUGCUUGCAGCAUACAACACAAGUCGUCUUGUUCUAUCUGACUGCUGCAAAAUUCUCAGCACUACAAGAUCCAAACCAUCAAUACAAGAGCCACGUACAGUUUGUAAUCUCUGUGCAAUAUCACCUUUAAUAAUUCCAACAAUUAACUUCAAACGAAUCUCUGGCAAGAGUUCUUACCAUAGAUUACCAUGAACAUUUUUAGUUUUACAUUCAUUUGGAAUCAUAGGACUCCUACCAACGGGAAAAAAAGGAGGUUGAACUAACUUUUACUUUAUUGCAGUUUAAAAUUUGUCUCAGCAGAGAAUCAAACCUAGAUAAGUUCAUAUGUAUAGGCAAUUAUUUAUAACCUCCAUUUUAGGCACCAAGCCUAGAUAUUCUGAAUCACCUUCCCUGGAGAUUGCUUACCUCUUUCCUCUGAUACAGAAAAGUUAGAUUUCCACUAUGUGUGAGUUAGGUGUCUACCCUCUUUUGGAUAGUUGGUUCCAUGAAGGCAACACAAUAAUAAAAAUUAGGCUUCCAGUGGAAAAAUUUUUAAGUUUUUAAUUAAAGAGAAAUGUUAUCGACCUUACUGAUGAUAUUUAAAACAAAUCAUAAAUGGGCUUGCAAAACUUUCUUGGUGUGUAACUGUGUUUUUGACAUUACAUAUUUACAAGAUAGAUGGCUAUUGCUUCUGUUUUACUGUUUUGUUUGAUAUAAUCAGUGAAAAGGGAUUUAUGAAUAUCUCUGGAUUUCAUAAUUUGGCUAUAAUUUACAUAUCAGUGUAAUGCUAAUUUUUUGCUCUCUGUUGAAUCUCGUUCACAGAAAGAGGAGUGACAAACAUUAGUAGUGUCAUUAUUGCCUGUUAACAUAGCUCAUUAAUGUGUUCUAGUAGUCAUUAACUUUGCAAGGAAAUAUUGAUUCCUAUGGAAACAAAAGCUGCAAGUUAAAAAUAAAUAAAUGAAGAAAUGUCUCUGGGAAUGAUCUGUGAAUUGCAUAUGCAUUUAGUUCUUGUCAUCAUUGUACUUUCCUGCUGUUCACAAGACUGCUUGCUUAGAGUAGAAAUUCUAAUGGAGUAACCAAAAUGCAUUGUAUUAAAUUCUCAUUUGAUAUUUGUUGCUUUUAUAAUUGUAAUGCCAUUACAUGAGGAAACGCUUUCCCUGUGAUCAGUAUCUUCUUACGGUAAGAUGGGGAAGUGACUUUUGUUUAUCCACAGCAUAACUAUAAGUCCUGGGUAUAAUUCUUCCAGUAUGUGAGGCCUGUUUCAUCAUUAUUACAUAUUUCUAAGAGUUCUAAAUAGCUCAGAGGCAUAAGCAGUCAUACCUGUUUUGGGGUGAAAACAAGGUUAAAUAUUUUUUUUCUGUAGCUACAUUGACUUAGUAUACAAAGGAAGUACAUAAAGGCUAUGAUUUCAUUUCAGUAUUCAAAUGAGCAUGACCAGAUUGUCAACAACAUGGUCAUUCUCAGAUUCUUCUUAGGGCUUUCAUCGAUUGUGAAUACAAAAGAAGUUUCUUCGGACUUGGAGGCUGGCUUUUAUUCCACUUCAACAGCACUGUGUAUCUGACUGUCUCUUCUGGUUCUAUCACUUUCAGCAGUGAUAUUGAAUCCCUAAAAUAGAUGUGAAAUGUUGUGAGUUUGUUGUGAGUUUGGUGUUUUUUUUUGGUUUUUUUUUUUUUUUUUCCCUGAGUUAUCUGAUCUCAUUUCCUUACUAUGUUGUUAUGCUUUGGGAAUAUUUCAGGCUGUAAAAUUUGCUUUUUAAUUUCUACAUUGCUUUUCUUUUCUGGUACUCCUGAAGUCAGUGGUCUUCAUGUGUGUUUGCAGAUUUUAAGUAGACUGCUACUGAGAAGUGCCUUUCUGAGUGUCUCAUGGCUUCAAAUAUAAUUUCUCCUCAUUGUCUUCAAGACAUGAUUUUAUGAAUUAUACAGUGUUAGAAAUUCCCCUGAAAACUCAAUUUUCAUUUGUAUGUUGAGUUAAAAAUUAUCUAAUGGUUUGUCCAAAAUAUGGUCUAAAAUGCAGCAGCAUUUUCUUGAGCUAAUAUGGCCUACCUGGAAUGCUCCAAAAAGUUUGACUUUGCUCACUCACACCAUCCUGCGUGUUUGUUAUGAUUUACGAAGCGAUCUCUUGUUCUGUCACAACGACUUGUUAUCUUCAGUAUUUACCACUCCCUUAAUCUUUGCAUCGGUUUGAUUCCUUCUCCGCAAUUGAUUUAUAAAAAAUAUUAAAUAGGUAGAGGCCAACAACUCCACCCUGUAGCAAUGUCCUUGGAAAUACAGCCACAGUGUGGUGAUUUCCAAUGCUAUCAACAAGACCUAUCCUUGACUGUCUUUAAUCCAUUUAAUGUAUGCAGUGAUGAUUUUGUGUUCUAGUUUAUUAAUCAGGAUGUUGUGCAGUGUGCAGUUAGUUGUGCCUUACAGAGAUCUAAGUGUAUUGCAUAACACUGUUAACUUUUAUAAAACAAAAAUGUACUCUCAUAAAAAUAUUGAAUUAGUUUGAGAUCUAUUAUAUAUAAGAGCAUUUAGAUUAGUACUUAAUUGUACUACUGUCUUUUAAUUGGGUUCCCUACCAGCUAUUCCACUAUUUUUGUUGGGAUCAAUGCAGGAUGGCAAAGUCUGUAAUUACUUCAGGUAUUGCCCCAUUUACCCUUUUCUAAGUCUUGGCAGGAUGUUACUUUCUUAGCUUGGUCCUCUGGAAAUUACCAUUAGGUAUUGUAAUGAGCCUUUGGUCUCAUUAAAAAUCCACAUCAACAGUUCAGACAUCUCCUAUACCAGUUCUUUUCUAGCUAUUAGUUGAGAGUUAUCUGGAUUUGCUGAGUCAAAAAUGUUUAUGAAUUAAAUUAAUUUAAAAUAGCUUCUAUUUUAACAUCCUGUUUUGCUACUAACAGAGUGAAUUCAUCAUAACCACUAUGUAUAUACAUAUUUUAUGUUUUACAAGCAAAACACAUAUAUUUACUGAAAAUACUGAAUAUUUACUGAAAAAUUCUGUCUCUGUUAUUAACACUUGCCCCUUGCUUAUCGGACAAUGUACCAAUGUAAUUGUUAUGAUACUGAUUAUUUUGAGUGUAAUAAAAAGAGUCUUCCUUGGGCAUUAA
Tyto alba (common barn owl) is the source of this 4949-nucleotide long non-coding RNA. RefSeq lists it as uncharacterized. The record is from RefSeq and is a predicted model, not a curated record. The transcript is spliced from 6 exons. NCBI's taxonomy places the organism in Eukaryota, Metazoa, Chordata, Aves, Strigiformes, Tytonidae.